AUACUUACCUGGCAGGGGAGAUACCAUAAUCAUGAAGGUGGUUUUCCCAGGGUGAAGCUUAUCCAUUACACUCUGGAUGUGCUGACCCUGCGAUUUCCCCUGAAGAAAAAGAAAAAAAUGAAAGAAUGUAGACGAAAAGCUAAGACUUAACUUCUGACCUUCC
Otolemur garnettii (small-eared galago) is the source of this 163-nucleotide non-coding RNA. The record is from Rfam. Lineage: Eukaryota; Metazoa; Chordata; Mammalia; Primates; Galagidae.